GGGCUCCCGCCGGUUUCCAGCGGCCGGGAUGGGGCGGUGGAGCCCGGGAAGCAGCGGUGCCGAGCUGUGCCGUGUCCCGCUGCGGAGCGCCGGGAGCGGCCGAGCGCGGGGCCUCGGGGCGGCGCCUGAGGCGCUCCCAGCGCCCGGAGGCACCGGGCUGACGGAGCGGGCUCUCUGAGCUGAAAGGCAGCAGAGGAUUUUCUGGGACAGGAUAACAGACAGACUGAGGACACUGUCACCUUGGUGUGAGCAGAGCUGGCUAAGCAGAAUUGAGUGACUGUGGGAGCACUUGUUGAGCUUGGUGCUCAUGCUGAGGAUGUUCUUGCAUCUCUGAAAUACAACGAUACAGAGCCUGAAUGCCAGCUGCCAGAGUGGAUUCCACCAGCAUCCCCAGGGAAUGGCUGGUGUGAGCCCUUUUUGGUGAUGCAGCACUCCAGCAGAGCCCAGCAGCAACUGAGGAAAGGCACAAGAGCAGCAGAGCAGAGGUGGGCAGCCCCACAGCAAACUCUGUGAAUGAAUAAUUCACAGAGCCCUCUUUGCUGCCUUCACUAGUCAGGCUCUUUUUACAACAGGCUCUAUGCUGAGAUUCUUUUAACCAUUCUUUCCUCAUUUAAACCAUGUUACUUUUGUGACUUGAA
Molecule: long non-coding RNA, 638 nt
Organism: Zonotrichia leucophrys gambelii
Lineage: Eukaryota; Metazoa; Chordata; Aves; Passeriformes; Passerellidae
Exons: 3
Source: RefSeq, a predicted model, not a curated record